RNAcentral lists this unclassified non-coding RNA (343 nucleotides) under Hevea brasiliensis (rubber tree). Lineage: Eukaryota; Viridiplantae; Streptophyta; Magnoliopsida; Malpighiales; Euphorbiaceae. The record is from RNAcentral.
AAAUAGUACUUUGUUACUAUAACUUACGGUAGGACUCCAGCAAGAUUUCCAAGAAGCCCAGAAUACAACCCCUUCAAGGCUAUUUGUCCUCCACCACGAGCUACCUGCAGCCGUGUCUUUAUUGUAUCAAUGGGAUAUAAAGCUGUUUCAACAACAACACCGGCGGUCCCUCCUGCUAUCACACCCUCAAAUAGUAUCCGUAGAAAAUCAAAUGGUUUCUCUUCUCCGUUGUUGAUUGAUGCAAAGAACUUUUUUGGUACCAUCUGAAGGUUAUCCAUUUUUCUGCCAGAUGCAUCUGUAGCAGAAGAGGAGGUUGCAAAAGAAUUCUUUGUAUCCAAAGCUA